GGAGGGGUGGCCGAGUGGCUGAAGGCGGCGGUUUGCUAAACCGUUAUAGGGGUAGUACCUCUAUCGAGGGUUCGAAUCCCUCUCCCUCCGCCA
This 93-nucleotide transfer RNA is filed under the name Defluviicoccus sp. Its description in RNAcentral is "tRNA-Ser". It matches the Rfam family "tRNA". Rfam says of the family: Transfer RNA (tRNA) molecules are approximately 80 nucleotides in length. Their secondary structure includes four short double-helical elements and three loops (D, anti-codon, and T loops). Further hydrogen bonds mediate the characteristic L-shaped molecular structure. tRNAs have two regions of fundamental functional importance: the anti-codon, which is responsible for specific mRNA codon recognition, and the 3' end, to which the tRNAs corresponding amino acid is attached (by aminoacyl-tRNA synthetases). tRNAs cope with the degeneracy of the genetic code in two manners: having more than one tRNA (with a specific anti-codon) for a particular amino acid; and 'wobble' base-pairing, i.e. permitting non-standard base-pairing at the 3rd anti-codon position. Lineage: Bacteria; Pseudomonadati; Pseudomonadota; Alphaproteobacteria; Rhodospirillales; Rhodospirillaceae. The record is from RNAcentral.